This is a long non-coding RNA of Bubalus bubalis (water buffalo), 1519 nucleotides long. RefSeq lists it as uncharacterized. NCBI's taxonomy places the organism in Eukaryota, Metazoa, Chordata, Mammalia, Artiodactyla, Bovidae. The record is from RefSeq and is a predicted model, not a curated record. The transcript is spliced from 2 exons.
UGGGGCUAGCAUGAAGUGCUGGCACAGAAAGUGCCAUUUGAGCUGUGUGUCUGAGGGUGCCUGGGCCAAGGGCGAGAGGCAUCAGGUGGCUCACAGUGCCCAAAACAGUGUGGGUAUGAGGGACAGGGCUGGGAGGUGACAGAGUUGGGACCAGACUGUGACUGGCCUGGAAAGCCGAGAGAAAGAAUUUGGACUUCAUCCUGUAGGCAGGAACGAGCCCUCAGAGGUUUUAUAAGCAGAGGAGUAACCUGAUCAGAGCUGUGUUUAAGGAAGAUUAAUUAAAAAUCAUGUCUGGUGUGUUUAAUUCCUAGCUAGCCCUGGGCUUUGGAAGAGACAGGAGAGGAAGACAACAAGGCCCCAAUGAACAGGCACUUCACAAAAUACUGUCCAAUAAACAUAUAAAAAGAUGUCCAGUGCUACUGAGAUGCAAAUUAAAGCAACAAUGAGAUACCAUAUUUGGCCUAUCAAAUUAGCAGGGAUUAAAAACACUUGAUGCUGUGGAGGGUUUUUUGUGAGACCAUCCUUAGUGCCCACUGUGGGGAGGAGGGGUUGCGACAGCCGCAAAUCUCUCUGACCUUUCGGAAGGGCGGCUGGAUAAGAGAUGCAAGAAGCUUGUUAAAAGUGCACGUUGUGUGACCCAGAAAUUCCACUUCUACGUAUUUAUUAUCCUAAAGAAAUCAUUGUUGAUGGGAGCAAAAAUGUUUGCCCCAAAGUGCCCCCACCCCAUGUGUUACUGAUAAAAGCCUAUUACUGGAUCGAAUGGGAAAACUGAAAACUGUCUGAAGGCAGCCUCUGAUGCUAGACUUCAACAUUUCUGAAUCCUCAAAGGCUGCAGAUCUACCCACAACAGCCCCCUAAGGAAUCCUGCAGGCAGAUAACGAGGGCAAGAUAACAUCUGAAGAGAGUCAGCCAGUCUGCACACAACAGACAUUGAUGCAGAACCCAACCUCUUGCCUAGAUGAUUCACUGUCAUGGCUGAACAGAAUCUUGGGAGUUGGUCUCUGGACACGAGUCCACUUUCCCCCCAGAUUGCCAGCUUUUCUGAUUAAAGCACCUUUCUCUUCUACUGACACUUACCUCUUGAAUUAUUGGCUUUGGGGCAGUAUUCAGUGUGCAGCCAAGCCUGAGCUCAGUAACAGCAGGCCAGGCUUAGUGGUGUGUUGUCUACACGUACCCAGGAGCACAGAAAUGAUCAAAGCAACAUGCGGGCAGAAGUAGGGAUGAGGAUCAGAGGGGACAGAGACUGCAGGUGACAAAGGACAAGCAGAAGGGCAGAAUCCCCAGGACAGGAGCAUUGUGAGUUCAAGGAGGAAUCUUAGGCACCUUUGGACACCCAGAUGGACUCUCAGAUAAAGGCUGUCAAGAGUGAUCGUGAAAGGCUAGAGAACUUGGAGAUGCUCGGGUCUUAAAUGCAUAGGAUAUUCAGGCAGAUGGUCAGGCAACCAUUCAACAUUAUGGUUUACAAGUGUUUUGAUGAUGUAGAGAGAUAUCAGGGAGAGAUUGUGGAGUGAAAAAAAGG